ACCAUAUGGGAUGCUGGGAAUCAAACCCGGGUCGGCCGCGUGCAAGGCAAACGCCCUACCCGCUAUUCCUAUUCCUCCAGCCCCCAGAUUAUUUCCUUACUGUGCUGAGUGCUCAAAGAAUACACUGUGGCCCGGGCACUAUGAUGGCCCAGCUGUAAUACUACCCCAUCUGCGUCAUAUUCCUGUCAUAUUUCUAACGAUGAUGUCAUGGUAGGUCCUGCAGUCGUAUAACAGCGCUGUCAUCUAGUAUUGGGCCCUUUCAGUGCCAAAACAUCUUAAUCAUUUUUGCCUUUUAAAAAGUAAUAAACUCAGCAGUGUGGAGCGCUGUCAUCCCGCGGGUGCGCAGGACCCGCCGCGCCUCACGCCGCCGCCAGGGGGCGCGCUGCGGCCCGCGGCCGACUGGACGCCGAGGCCCGACGCUGGCUCGCGGCGGGGCGGGCAGGGCGGCUGCGUGGCGUGGCCGCCGGCCGCGAUGUCGUCGGAGCCGGGGCGCGCGGGCUCGCGGCGGCCGCGGGAGCCGCCCGAGCAGGAGCUGCAGCGGCGGCGGGAGCGGAAGCGGCGGCGACACGACGCGCAGCAGCUGCAGCAACUCCAGCACCUGGAGUCCUUUUACGAGAAGCCUCCUCCAGGCCUCAUCAAGGAGGACGAGACAAAGCCAGAAGACUGUAUUCCAGACGUGCCGGGCAAUGAGCACGCCAGGGAGUUCCUGGCCCAUGCACCCACGAAAGGACUAUGGAUGCCCCUGGGAAAGGAAGUCAAAGUUAUGCAGUGUUGGCGUUGUAAACGGUAUGGUCACCGGACAGGAGACAAAGAAUGUCCUUUCUUUAUCAAAGGCAACCAAAAGUUGGAACAGUUCAGAGUAGCUCAUGAAGACCCCAUGUAUGACAUCAUCCGAGAGAAUAAGAGACACGAAAAGGACAUAAGGAUACAACAGCUAAAACAGCUCCUGGAAGAUUCUACCUCAGAUGAAGAUUCGAGCAGCAGCAGUUCCUCAGAUGGUAAAGAGAAACACAAGAAAAGGAAGAAGAAGGAAAAGCAGAAGAAAAAGAAGAAAGAAAAGAAAAAGAAGAAAAAACGAAAACAUAAAUCUUCCAAGUCCAACGAGAGCUCUGACUCAGAAUGACCAGAACCCGUUCCCCUUUCUGGCCUCAGAGUCUGGGGGCCAUGACUGAGGACAGAGGAGUGGAGACCGCGUGGUGCCACUAUGACAUCCUUCAGAGACAGGGACCCGGCCCUCGUCCCCCACUUGCUCACCCUGGACAGCUCCAGGCAGGAGCCCUGCGUCCAGGCUCCCCCCUUGCUUGUUGCAGGGGUCAGGAGCCCCUCCAGUGCUACCAGCCUCCCCCUUCGAAGGGGCCGCUGUGACUUCCAGACUGCCGGCCUGACUUCUCUCUGUUUCCCAAAAGUGCUGGAAAUACAGUGUGACAAAACAAAGCAAAUACAGGAACAUCCAUUUAAUGUCACAGACACUGGGAAGAAGUCAGGACAGGCCUUGAGGACCACGGAAUCUGGAAAUGCACUCUUCCACUCUGGAAACCUAGAGAGAGAGUACAGGCAUCAGCACCUGCCUUCAGCCACACUCCAGCGCUCACAGGCAUCCUAACACUGUCCUCCACACCAGCUAGUGACUGCCUGUUCUUCCCAGUACAUCCCCAGGAUUCGCCACUGAAUGGACAAUGAAAAAAUACCUGAGUCUCAACCCUAUAUGGGGUCAUGUGACUUCUUAAAACUUUGUUUAUUGAAUCAAUUGUUUUUUGGUUUGGGGCCACACCCAGCAGUGCUCAGGGCUUACUCCUGAUUCUGUGCUCAAAGAUCACUUCUGGCAGACUCUGGGGACCAUAUGAGGUGCAAGGGAUCAAACCCAGGUCAGCUGCCUGCAAGGCAAAUACCCUACGCUCUGUACUAUCACUCUGGCCUCCUGGAUCAAUUUUUAUUUGCAUGCCUAUUUUUUUAUUGAAUCACUGUGAUAAUUACAAAAUUGUUCAUGAUUUUCAGUCAUACAAUGUUCCAACACCCAUACCUCCACAGGUGUAAUUUUCCAGCACCAGUGUCCCCAGUUUCCCUCCCACCCCUUCACCCCACCCCAGUCUGCCUCUAUGACAGUGUUGGGGCUGGAGCAAUAGCACAGUGGGUAGGGCAUUUGUCAUGCAUGCGACCAACCUGGGUUCGAUUCCCAGCAUCCCAUAUGGUCCCCCAAGAGUAAUUCCUGAGUGCAGAGCCAGGAAUAACCCCUGUGCAUCAACAGGUGUGACCCAAAAAGCAAAAAUAAAUAAUAUCAGUGUUGAUGAGGGUGGGGCUCCAAGGAUGAACGCAUGGCUAAAAGUAACAGUCAUGCAAAGUUGAACCCAUGAGUCUGAAUGUGACCCUGGAAGCCGCUCACAUGUCCUGAGCAUGGUCAUGAUGGAUCUGCUACUUGGACCCGUAUCACCACAGUGUGUAAGCCACAGCCAGGUGUCUGGAAGCACAACUAGUGCUGUUACCUCCCUUCCCAGGAAAAUCUGGUCAAGAGACAUUCCAGUGAGUACCUUGAUUUCCUCCUAAGAGGCUGGGAGGGGGGGGCAGGUGGGAGGAGUCCUUUGAUUAUUUUCCCACAAAGUGUGAAGAGAUAAUCCACACGUAAGGUUUGCUCAGACCAGAUGGCGAUUGGAUGAUGAGAUUUCCCCAAAUCAGAGAUCACCGAGCCCCUCGGUGCCAAGGACAGGACUUAUGGCCCUCCUGGUGAUAGGAAGCUACCAGACUGGUUCCAUGCUUCCUCACAUCGACCUUCUACAGGCAACAUACAACCAGACCAAACUGCACUGGCCCCACUGGUCUUGUUCCCUUUUCCCUCCCAAGACCCAAAAGGCCACAUCUGCAUGUAGGAGCCAGGGACAAGGGCACCUACAAAGGCAGGCCCCGUGCACUGUGGCAAGAAUGCCAUGGACACAGAGCUGCCUGUUGACACUUUGAUCUCUGUCUAAAAAAUAAUCUGAGCCAGUCUCAGCUCAAAGGAUAUUUUGUCCCUCAGCGGUUAUUUGAAUGAUUGCGCUUAUUAAAUGAUCAGGUCCAGAGGAAAGCAGUGAUGAAUGCCCUUCCCUUCCCUGAUCAGCCUCAGCCUCACUGCACCAAUGAGUUCCAUCUCGAAACACUGCUGUUGUGACCCCUGGUGCCACAACAAAGGAUACAAAAACACAGCUGAAGUGUGCAACCCCUGUGAACACACAACCAAGCAUGCAGACACCAGGCAUAUAUGAUGCCCAGUCAUUGCAGCAGCAAGAACCAAGGAAACUAAACCACCACCAGCACCUCCCAUGGUUUACCUCAGCUUUGAGCUCACCUGCUACGCUGAACUCACCUAUAGAACAGCCCUGCCUUGGCCAGGAGGGUCAUGCUGGUUAGUACAGUGUCAUCAUGCUAUCUGACAGCUUCCGAGCUGUUCCUCUCACUUCCUAUUGAAUUACCCAAAACUGACAUGCAUCAUCUUCAACACACUUGUAUUCAACAUCUUUUCAAUGAUCAGUAUUCAUUCUAGCUUCUUUUGAUAACAAGCCCUUUGAAGUUUUUUUGGAAAAGGAGGAGAAUGCCUGUCUUUCUCCAAACACUAUGCUCUACAUAAGCUCAGCCCACCUUCAACAAGUUGCGCAUAAUUUUCAGUCUUGAUGAGCAUAUCUUCCCUGAUAUGGUAACUAAAAGAGAAAGAUCAAGUGACAAGGCAGACUAAGGGAGUAAGUCUGUUGAAUCAUUGGAAAAUAAAUCUCUUCCUAGGCCAGAGAGAUAGUAUAACAGAUAGGGCACUUGCCUUGCACAUGGCUGACCCAGGUUCGAUUCCCAACACCCCAUAUAGUCCUCUGAGCCCUCCCAGGAGUGAACCCUCAGCCCAGAGCCAGAAGAAUGUCCUGAGCAUGGGCAACUGUGGCACAAAAGCCAAAGGGAAAAAAAUUAUAUCUCUCUUGAAUGGAACAGAGGAAGGAAUCUUGGUGUUUCAGACACAACAAGCCAGGGCACAUACACUAAAAACAAAAAAAAGGGGGGGGAUUAUAAAAUAACAUAGUAUGAGACUGUCACUCGUGGACAGUAGAAAUGAGGGUCAGGAGUGAGGACUGGUCCACUGGUCAGGAGUGAGGACUGGUUGGAAGCUUGCCAACAGUGCAGGGGGAAGGAGAGGGUAGUUAGGAUAGAGAAGGGACCACUAUGACAUUGAUAGUUGGAAAUGAUCACUCUGGACAAGAAUUGAGUGCUGAAAGUAGGAAAAGGGUUAUACACAAUAAACUUUCAGUGCCUGUAUUGCAAACUAUCAUGCCCAAGAGGAAAGAGAGGGAAAGAGCAAUCGAGAUUCAAAGAAAAGUUCCUGCCAUAGAGGCUGACUAGUGGUGGGGGUGUGAGGCAAACUGGGGACAUGGGUGGUUGGAAAUAUACACUGGUGAAGGAUGGGUGUUGGAACAUUGUAGGACCAAAACCCAAUCAUAAUCAACUUUGUAACUCAGUGAUUUAUCUCACAGUGAUAUAAUUAAGAGGAAAACAAUUUUAAUUUCAAGUAGGGUUUGGGGAUGAUGAAGUCUGGCAUCACUGCCUUCAAAAUAUGCAUUGUUUUCUGAAGAGGAAUUCACCGCCUCGGGCAAAAAGUGUGUUCAUAAUUAGGAACUCUAUCCACUUAAUCCCAUAAUAUUCCAAACAGGUAGAGAAGUCUGCCAGUGCAGAUCACCAAUCCUGGAUGGAAAAUCCCUUCUGGAACCUUCCAGCUAGCUCGAGGUCGGACCCAGAAGGCUACAUCUGCGUCUAGGAGCUGGCGGGCACGGCACCCUGCAAAGACAGGCUCCGCACACUGCCAAGAAUGCCACGAGCAUAGAGGGGCCUGUGGGGACUUACAUCUCCCUUCUGCAUGUCCUCAGGAAGGGGGAGCUGCCCUCCUAUUCUCUGUUUCCCCCACUUCAGUAGGCUGAGCUCCUGCUUUCCUCCUUCCCUGGACCUGAGGUCGCCAGGCCGAGGAGGCACCAGCAUAGACACGACAGCCUGAGAGGAGGAAGGCUGGAAUGGGCUCACUCAUGCCUGCUCCAAGCCAGGACAGUGAUGCCCCCGAAGAAGAGGCAUGGCUAGGAGGGGACAAUGGGUUGGGUCAAAUAAUGGAACAGAACCAGAGAUGUGGAGAGUAUCGUGCUGAGUGACAUCAGUCCGAGGAGAGGGAUAAACGAAGAAUGGUUGCACAUGUUUUCAGAAUAUCAGAAAACAAAAAGAAAAAAAUAGUGUGUGAAUAAUACCCAAAGACAGUAGAAAUAAGGGCCUGGAGGACUGUCUGUAGUAGGGAGCUCUCCACAAAGGGGGAGGGGACUGCACUUAGGACAGAGAAGGGACCACUAUGACAGUGAUAGCUGGAAAUGAUCAUUCUGGACACAAACAUUGUGGAAGGCUAAGUGAUAUGUACAAAACCCUUUCAGUAACAGUACUGCAAACCACAGUGCCUAAAAGGAAAAGAGAGAGGGAGGGAGAGAGGGAGCAGGGAGGGAGAGGGAGAGAGAGAGAGAAAGAGAAUGAGUAGAAGUAAAGUGACUGCCAUACAGACAGGCUCUGAGGGCAGGGAGGUGGGGGCAGGAACUGAAGAAAAACUGAGUACAUUGGCCGUGGGAAAUGUGCUCUAGUGCUCAACACCAUCUAGGGAUGGGUGUUGGAACAUUUUAUGACUGGAACUCAAUCAUGAACAGUUUUGUAACUGUAUAUUUCAUGGUUAUUUAAGAAUAAAACUCGGGGCUGGAGUGAUAGCACAGCAGGUAGGGCGUUUGCCUUGCACGCGGCUGACCCGGGUUCGAUUCCCAGCAUCCCAUAUGGUCCCCUGAGCACCGCCAGGGGU
This is an RNA transcript of Sorex araneus (European shrew), 5821 nucleotides long. It is a transcript of the gene named RP9 pre-mRNA splicing factor, with no coding region annotated. The transcript has 7 exons. NCBI's taxonomy places the organism in Eukaryota, Metazoa, Chordata, Mammalia, Eulipotyphla, Soricidae. The record is from RefSeq and is a predicted model, not a curated record.